This 253-nucleotide ribosomal RNA is filed under the name uncultured bacterium. RNAcentral describes it as "partial 16S ribosomal RNA". It matches the Rfam family "Bacterial small subunit ribosomal RNA", at positions 524 to 776 of the family's 1533-position model. The record is from RNAcentral.
UACGAAGGGAGCUAGCGUUGUUCGGAAUUACUGGGCGUAAAGAGCGCGUAGGCGGUUUGUAAAGUUGGGAGUGAAAGCCCAGGGCUUAACCCUGGAAAUGCUCUCAAAACUCACAAACUAGAGAUUGGUAGAGGGUGGUGGAAUUCCUAGUGUAGAGGUGAAAUUCGUAGAUAUUAGGAGGAACACCGGUGGCGAAGGCGGCCACCUGGGCCAACACUGACGCUGAGGCGCGAAAGCGUGGGGAGCAAACAGG